Antechinus flavipes (yellow-footed antechinus) is the source of this 1390-nucleotide long non-coding RNA. RefSeq lists it as uncharacterized. The transcript is spliced from 3 exons. NCBI's taxonomy places the organism in Eukaryota, Metazoa, Chordata, Mammalia, Dasyuromorphia, Dasyuridae. The record is from RefSeq and is a predicted model, not a curated record.
GUCAUUUGCAAAGAAAUUUUGCGCAUUCCAGAUUUGAAGCCAGAUAGCAGAAGGGGAACCCUCUGGCUUCUCCAGGAAAGCUUUCUUGCUGGAAUCAUCAAAGUCCAAUGGCAAAACAAAAGUCAGGACUACUGAUUAUGGCUAUCUCCAAUGUCUGGUCAAGCUCUAAGCACUCCACAGCCCCUGCUUCAGCUGCCUUCAUGGUCAUUGGAUCAAAUUGUUCUCAUUCACCCAUUAGCUGAGGGAAAUGGAGUCUUUACAUUCUUGUGACAGAUACCCCUCUAACUCACGGCCAGGCUUAAAGACUUUUGGUAACCUUCAACCUGGUUUAGUCCAUCUGUCUAUAUGCUUUACUGGAUUGUGGUUUUGCACAUGCUACAUGUUUGCACAUGCUUAGAGUCACAGAAAGUACUAAGAAUGUCAAGAUUGAUACAGUUCAAACAAGAGUAUACAAUGAUCAAUUCUGAUGGACGUGGCUCUUUUCAACAAUGAGAUGAUUCAAAAUUCCAGUUGUUCAGUAGUGAAGAGAGCCAUCUACAAGGAGAAAGAGGACUAUGGGAACUGAGUGUGAACCACAACCAAAAUAGCAUUUUCACUCUUUCUGUUAUUGUAUGCUUGCAUUUUUGUUUUCCUGAAAAGGUUUUUUUUUUCCUAGAUCCAAUUUUUCUUUGCAGCAAGAUAACUGUAUAAGUAUGUAUACAUAUAUUGGAUUUAACAUAUAUUUUAACAUAUUUAACAUGUAUUGGACUACCUGCCAUCUAGGGGAGGGGAUGGGGGGAAGGAGAGGAAAUUUGGAAUAGAAGGUUUUGCAAGGGUCAAUGUUAAAAAAUUAUGCAUGUGUAUGCUUUGUAAAUAAAAAGCUAUACUAAAAUAAAAAAAUACUUUUAAAAAAAGAUUGAUACAGUUCAGUUCCUUCAAUUGCUAGUCAUUGUUCAAGGAGCUCAUAUUUAGAAUAAUAAUAAGUUAAAGUGUGUAGAUGGUCUGAAAAUUGCGAUUCUUGGCAAACCUGCCUCUGUUUCCUCUACUCUGCCAUGUAUCAUUGUGGCAUGAAGAAGACCUGAAUUCUCAAAGUUUGAAAGAGCUUUUCCAUGCCAUAGAGACUUUACAUAUAGUGAAUUAAAAGUCAAUUAUGUUUUCACAAAAAAAAUGAAAUUGACAUUGAAAGAUAAUUUGCUGAUGUGAUAUGGGAGUAUUUUAAAAAUGAGAAGUCUUCAUGUACUCAGAUUUAAGGCUGACUGAAGCAAAAGUCAAAAUCAAUGUCAAAUUAGGUAAAAAGAAAAGGAUGACAAAAGAUACUUGAUCAUUUACAACUUUAACCUUAACUGUUUAAAUCAACUGUCAGCUUUGAAAAAAUGGUAAAUAAAAUACAAUUAUUUGUUAACCAAUGAAA